GAUUAACGCUGGCGGCAUGCCUAAUACAUGCAAGUCGAUCGGAUGUAGCAAUACAUUAGAGGCGAACGGGUGAGUAACACGUAUCCAAUCUGCCUUAUAGUGGGGGAUAACUAGUCGAAAGAUUAGCUAAUACCGCAUAACAAGUUAACUAUCGCAUGAGAAUAACUUUAAAGAAGCAACUGCUUCGCUAUAAGAUGAGGGUGCGGCAUAUCAGCUAGUUGGUGAGGAUAAUGGCCCACCAAGGCGAUGACGUGUAGUUAUGCUGAGAGGUAGAAUAACCACAAUGGGACUGAGACACGGCCCAUACUCCUACGGGAGGCAGCAGUAGGGAAUUUUUCACAAUGGACGAAAGUCUGAUGGAGCAAUGCCGCGUGAACGAUGAAGGUCUUUUUAGAUUGUAAAGUUCUUUUAUUUGGAACAGUUAGUAGAGUGGAAAGCUAUUAAUUUGACUGUACCAUUUGAAUAAGUAACGACUAACUAUGUGCCAGCAGUCGCGGUAAUACAUAGGUUGCAAGCGUUAUCCGGAUUUAUUGGGCGUAAAACAAGCGCAGGCGGAUUAGAAAGUCUGGUGUUAAAAGCAAGCUUAACGAUUGUAUGCAUUGGAAACUUCUAGUCUAGAGUUUGGUAGAGAGUCCUGGAACUCCAUGUGGAGCGGUGAAAUGCGUAGAUAUAUGGAAGAACACCAGAGGCGAAGGCGAGGACUUGGGCCAAUACUGACGCUUAGGCUUGAAAGUGUGGGGAGCAAAUAGGAUUAGAUACCCUAGUAGUCCACACUGUAAACGAUGGAUGUUAAGUGUCGGAGCGAAUACUUCGGUGCUGCAGUUAACACAUUAAACAUCCUGCCUGAGUAGUACAUUCGCAAGAAUGAAACUCAAACGGAAUUGACGGGGACCCGCACAAGUGGUGGAGCAUGUUGCUUAAUUCGACGGCACACGAAAAACCUUACCUAGACUUGACAUCUUGGGCGAAGCUAUAGAAAUAUAGUGGAGGUCAACCCAAUGACAGGUGGUGCAUGGUUGUCGUCAGCUCGUGUCGUGAGAUGUUG
RNAcentral lists this ribosomal RNA (1045 nucleotides) under Mycoplasmoides gallisepticum. Its description in RNAcentral is "bacterial SSU rRNA". It matches the Rfam family "Bacterial small subunit ribosomal RNA", at positions 28 to 1077 of the family's 1533-position model. Lineage: Bacteria; Bacillati; Mycoplasmatota; Mycoplasmoidales; Mycoplasmoidaceae. The record is from RNAcentral.